Molecule: ribosomal RNA, 513 nt
Filed under: uncultured archaeon
Lineage: Archaea
Description: bacterial SSU rRNA
Rfam family: Archaeal small subunit ribosomal RNA
Source: RNAcentral
CUCCGCAUGCGAGCAAUCGCGACGGGGGGACCCCAAGUGCCACUCUUAACGGGGUGGCUUUUCUGAAGUGUAAAAAGCUUCAGGAAUAAGGGCUGGGCAAGACCGGUGCCAGCCGCCGCGGUAACACCGGCAGCUCAAGUGGUGGCCAUUUUUAUUGGGCCUAAAGCGUUCGUAGCCGGUCUGAUAAGUUUCUGGUGAAAUUCUACAGCUUAACUGUGGGAAUUGCUGGAAAUACUAUCAGGCUUGGGGUCGGGAAAGGCUAGAGGUACUCCUGGGGUAGGGGUGAAAUCCUGUAAUCCUGGGAGGACCACCUGUGGCGAAGGCGUCUAGCUGGAACGAACCUGACGGUGAGGAACGAAAGCCAGGGGCGCGAACCGGAUUAGAUACCCGGGUAGUCCUGGCCGUAAACGAUGCGGACUUGGUGUUGGGAUGGCUUCGAGCUGCCCCAGUGCCGAAGGGAAGCUGUUAAGUCCGCCGCCUGGGAAGUACGGCCGCAAGGCUGAAACUUAAAGG